AAAAGAAACUAACAAGGAUUCCCCUAGUAACUGCGAGUGAAGCGGGAAAAGCUCAAAUUUAAAAUCUGGUAGUCUUUGGCUGCCUGAGUUGUAAUCUAGAGAAGUGUUAUCCGCACUGGACCGUGUACAAGUCUCCUGGAAUGGAGCGUCAUAGAGGGUGAGAAUCCCGUCUUUGACACGGACUACCAGGGCUUUGUGAUGCGCUCUCAAAGAGUCGAGUUGUUUGGGAAUGCAGCUCUAAAUGGGUGGUAAAUUCCAUCUAAAGCUAAAUAUUGGCGAGAGACCGAUAGUGAACAAGUACCGUGAGGGAAAGAUGAAAAGAACUUUGGAAAGAGAGUUAAACAGUACGUGAAAUUGUUGAAAGGGAAACGCUUGAAGUCAGUCGUGUUGGCCAGGGAUCAACCUUGCUUCUUGCUUGGUGUACUUUCUGGUUAAUGGGUCAGCAUCAAUUUUGACCAGUGGAAAAAGACUAGGGGAAUGUGGCAUCUUCGGAUGUGUUAUAGCCCUUGGUUGCAUACACUGGUUGGGAUUGAGGAACUCAGCACGCCGCAAGGCCGGGUUUUUACCACGUUCGUGCUUAGGAUGCUGGCAUAAUGGCUUUAAUCGACCCG
This 611-nucleotide ribosomal RNA is filed under the name Entoloma clypeatum. RNAcentral's name for it is "eukaryotic LSU rRNA". It matches the Rfam family "Eukaryotic large subunit ribosomal RNA", at positions 57 to 651 of the family's 3401-position model. The record is from RNAcentral. Lineage: Eukaryota; Fungi; Basidiomycota; Agaricomycetes; Agaricales; Entolomataceae.